This 253-nucleotide ribosomal RNA is filed under the name uncultured bacterium. RNAcentral's name for it is "partial 16S ribosomal RNA". It matches the Rfam family "Bacterial small subunit ribosomal RNA", at positions 524 to 776 of the family's 1533-position model. The record is from RNAcentral.
UACGUAGGUGGCAAGCGUUGUCCGGAUUUACUGGGCGUAAAGAGCGCGCAGGCGGUCGUUCAAGUCGCGUGUGAAAGCCCCCGGCUCAACUGGGGAGGGUCACGCGAUACUGAUCGACUCGAAGGCAGGAGAGGGAAGUGGAAUUCCCGGUGUAGCGGUGAAAUUCGUAGAUAUUCGCAAGAACACCAGUGGCGAAGGCGGCUCACUGGCCCGGUACUGACGCUGAGGUGCGAAAGCGUGGGGAGCAAACAGG